Triticum urartu is the source of this 115-nucleotide non-coding RNA. The record is from Rfam. Lineage: Eukaryota; Viridiplantae; Streptophyta; Magnoliopsida; Poales; Poaceae.
CAACUACACCCUUCGUUUUGAAUUACUCGUCGUAAAAAUGGAUGUAUCUAGAUGUAUUUUAGUUCUAGAUACAUUCAUUUCUGCGACGAGUAAUUUGGAACGGAGGGAGUACCUU